Molecule: ribosomal RNA, 395 nt
Filed under: uncultured bacterium
Lineage: Bacteria
Description: bacterial SSU rRNA
Rfam family: Bacterial small subunit ribosomal RNA
Source: RNAcentral
GACGAACGCUGGCGGCGUGCUUAACACAUGCAAGUCGUGCGGUAAGGCCCUGCUUUGGUGGGGUACACGAGCGGCGAACGGGUGAGUAACACGUGGGUGACCUGCCUUCAGCUUUGGGAUAAGCCUGGGAAACUGGGUCUAAUACCGGAUAUGACCUUGGGGUGCAUGCCUUGGGGUGGAAAGCCUGUGUUGUUUGGCAUGGGUGGCUGGGGAUGGGCCCGCGGUCUAUCAGCNGUUGGUGGGGUGAUGGCCUACCAAGGCGACGACGGGUAGCCGGCCUGAGAGGGCGUUCGGCCACACUGGGACUGAGACACGGCCCAGACUCCUACGGGAGGCAGCAGUGGGGAAUAUUGCGCAAUGGGCGGAAGCCUGACGCAGCGACGCCGCGUGGGGGA